CUGCGAAUGGCUCAUUAAAUCAGUUAUCGUUUAUUUGAUAGUACCUUACUACUUGGAUAACCGUGGUAAUUCUAGAGCUAAUACAUGCUAAAAACCUCGACUUCGGAAGGGGUGUAUUUAUUAGAUAAAAAACCAAUGCCCUUCGGGGCUCCUUGGUGAUUCAUAAUAACUUAACGAAUCGCAUGNCCUUGCGCCGGCGAUGGUUCAUUCAAAUUUCUGCCCUAUCAACUUUCGAUGGUAGGAUAGUGGCCUACCAUGGUAUCAACGGGUAACGGGGAAUUAGGGUUCUAUUCCGGAGAGGGAGCCUGAGAAACGGCUACCACAUCCAAGGAAGGCAGCAGGCGCGCAAAUUACCCAAUCCCGACGCGGGGAGGUAGUGACAAUAAAUACUGAUACAGGGCUCUUUUGGGUCUUGUAAUUGGAAUGAGUACAAUUUAAAUCCCUUAACGAGGAACAAUUGGAGGGCAAGUCUGGUGCCAGCAGCCGCGGUAAUUCCAGCUCCAAUAGCGUAUAUUAAAGUUGUUGCAGUUAAAAAGCUCGUAGUUGAACCUUGGGUCUGGCUGACCGGUCCGCCUCACCGCGUGCACUGGUUCGGCCGGACCUUUCCUUCUGGGGAUCCGCAUGCCCUUCACUGGGCGUGUCGGGGAACCAGGACUUUUACUUUGAAAAAAUUAGAGUGUUCAAAGCAGGCCUUUGCUCGAAUACAUUAGCAUGGAAUAAUAGAAUAGGACGUGCGGUUCUAUUUUGUUGGUUUCUAGGACCGCCGUAAUGAUUAAUAGGGAUAGUCGGGGGUAUCAGUAUUCAAUUGUCAGAGGUGAAAUUCUUGGAUUUAUUGAAGACUAACUACUGCGAAAGCAUUUACCAAGGAUGUUUUCAUUAAUCAGUGAACGAAAGUUAGGGGAUCGAAGACGAUCAGAUACCGUCGUAGUCUUAACCGUAAACGAUGCCGACUAGGGAUCGGGCGAUGUUAUCAUUUUGACUCGCUCGGCACCUUACGAGA
This 1000-nucleotide ribosomal RNA is filed under the name Wiesneriomyces laurinus. RNAcentral's name for it is "SSU rRNA". It matches the Rfam family "Eukaryotic small subunit ribosomal RNA", at positions 87 to 1095 of the family's 1831-position model. The record is from RNAcentral. Lineage: Eukaryota; Fungi; Ascomycota; Dothideomycetes; Tubeufiales; Wiesneriomycetaceae.